AGAACGAACGCUGGCGGCGUGGAUAAGACAUGCAAGUCGAACGCGAUUUAUCGAGUUAGCAAUAACUUGGUAAAUUGAGUGGCGAAAGGGUGCGUAACACGUGGGAAUUUACCGAGAAGUGGGGGAAUAGCUUGACGAAAGUCAAAUUAAUACCGCAUGUGAUCGAAAGAUCAAAGCCGGGGACCGCAAGGCCUGGCGCUUUUUGAGAAGCCCGCGGCCCAUCAGCUAGUUGGCGGGGUAAAAGCCCACCAAGGCUAUGACGGGUAGCUGGUCUGAGAGGACGACCAGCCACACUGGAACUGAGACACGGUCCAGACACCUACGGGUGGCAGCAGUCGAGAAUUUUUCACAAU
Molecule: ribosomal RNA, 353 nt
Filed under: uncultured bacterium
Lineage: Bacteria
Description: SSU rRNA
Rfam family: Bacterial small subunit ribosomal RNA
Source: RNAcentral